GGUCUGUUCGCCCUUUAAAAUCUAACAUGAGCUGAGUUCAGAACGGCGUGAGCUAGUUCAGUUUCUAUCCUCUUUUAAAAAUAAGCUAAUUUUGUACGAAAGGACUUUUUCGCUAAAGUAAUGCUUUGGCCCAGCCCUAUAAUUACACAAAUAUUGGUAAAUGACGAGCUGAUCAACUCAUAAAAAGGGCUG
This 192-nucleotide ribosomal RNA is filed under the name Mytilus trossulus (common blue mussel). RNAcentral's name for it is "partial 16S ribosomal RNA". Lineage: Eukaryota; Metazoa; Mollusca; Bivalvia; Mytilida; Mytilidae. The record is from RNAcentral.